Molecule: long non-coding RNA, 8359 nt
Filed under: Gossypium barbadense (sea-island cotton)
Lineage: Eukaryota; Viridiplantae; Streptophyta; Magnoliopsida; Malvales; Malvaceae
Description: long non-coding RNA (GBAR_LNC022118)
Source: RNAcentral
AUGUUUAUGGCUGUUGCAAUCUGGGGUUCCUCCACUGGGACCGUUUUGCCAUUGUACUCCAAGUAGAGCUCUAGCCCUUGCCUUGCAUGGUUCUGCAACCUGAUUAUAAGAGGUACCCUGGUGCAAAUGCCCUGGCUACGAGGAAGGUUAACACCAGCCAAGGAUUCAAGAACACUAGACUUGCCUGAUGACUGGUCUCCAACCACAACAAUUGUGGGGAGCUGUAUGCCUUCUUUCAUCACCAUGAGCAGCCUGAGCCUGUCGAUGACAUCAAGCAAAGGUCGGAUUUUGUCAUUGUAUGAUGAAAUAAUUGGGGCUUGGGCUGCUGCUGCUCCCACCACCUUAGGUUCUUCCAUAGGAGGAGUUGCUGGUUGAGAAUCUUCAUAAUCAUUGAUGACACCAAUGCUCCCUGAAUCAGCUUCAUCAUAGCUACCCAUUUUUUAGAAGUCGAGACAGGAUGGGAAUUGGCCAAACUUGAUGUUUUAGAUGGUUUUUUUUGUUGGAAGUUGGAAAGCAAUAAACUUGAACUAAAGUGAAGACAAAUUCAAUGAAGCAUGUUUGGCUUUAUAAUGAAAAUUAAAAUAGGGUAAAGCACCGAAAUUAGGAACAAUAAAGCGAUAGCAUCCUAUACCAAACCCCAAGAAACAAGCAAACGAAGCUACAAUGGGAAUGGAAAACUUUAUGUUAUACUUUGAAUUGUAGAAAAUAAUGAUACAAGGACAGAAGAGAGGAAACAGAACAAAAUCAAAUCGUGACCAACCAAAAGAUGAGUGUGUCGAUGACAGAAAGUUCGAAACAUAAACAGCCCCACAAGUUCCUACAGGAACUAGACAGCAGAACUAUAUGAAACAAUGUAUUCACAUUGAAGUUUCGGAUAGAUGCCACGUACAAGCCAUGUUGCCAUUACCUCAUAUGCUCUUUGUGUCAAAUGAGCUCCAUCCCAACUAAGCUGUUCAUUAGGGUUUUCGCAUACCGGUACUUUUGGAUCUCCGCACCAACUUGAUAAGCCAGAAUUGUAGUCUUCCCCAAUUCCGCAGCAAGCUUUUUGCAAUGAUGUUGGAUCAAAACCAGAUGAGAUUUUUCGAAAACUCAGAACAUGACUAGAACCAUUCACAGUACGAUCACAUAAACUUAUGGAUGCAAAUAAAUCAGACUUACCAAGCAGAUCAGCUUUGCUCAAAAGCCACAGGAAUGCAUUGUAGUAGUCACCGUAGACAACGAUUACAUCUGGAUGUUUUUCUUUUAGCUGAUCAGCAAUAGCUUGUUGAAGAAGAUGAUUAUGAUAGAUUGAAAAAAAGGCUUGACUUCGUCCCUUUCGUAUACCUACUCUAAGACAAAAAAAAAUCAUUUUAUUAAUUAAGCUUUUUGUUUAUUAAUAAUUUGUUUUUUUUUCAAAUUCAUUAAAUACAAUUAAAAACAUUUGGAAGAAAAAUCUAAUGGUAGACUAGAUAUAGUUAAGAUAAUAUCUAACAGAGAGAUCGAUGUUCGAGUAUUUGUUGAAGUUCCUACGUAACUUUUAAUAAUUUUACAAACGGAUAGAGAUAAUAGUUUAUUCGAACAUUUAUUUUUAAUAGAGUGAAGAAACCCAAUUAUUUAAUUUAUGGGUAAACUACAUAAAGGGUAACACAAGUAUAAAAAGUUACAAAAUGUUCAUCUAACUAUUCAAUAUUGUUUUUUUAGAUCACCCGGCUAACGGUGGCUACUUUUAAAAUUUGAAUAAUAGAAAUUUAACCCUCAACACUUAUAUAUUGUAUCAAUUUAGUCUUGAUUCUAAAAAAAAAAUUUAACUCUCAACAUUUACACAUUGUAUAAUUUGGUCUCUCUUUUUGUAAUUUUGCUUUUCUUUGUGACAUUUAGUGUUAAUUUUAAAAGAAUAAGAAAAGAAAAAAAAUAUUAUCUUAGAUUUCUGGGUGCUCCUAUUUUUUAUAUAUUUUUAAUCAAAUUUAACUGAUAAAUUUAUUUUUAACUUUUUAAGUGAAAGGGUAAAGAAAAACAAAGUUGUACUAGAAAAAAGAAGAUCAAACUACCCAAUGUAUAAAUGUUGAUAGUUAAUUAUUUCUGGAAUCAAGAUUAAAUUGACAUAAUUUAUAAAUAUUGAGGGUUAAAGUUGAUAUUAUGCGAAUAUUAAAAGUUGCCACCGAUGAUCAGUAACCAAAAAAGACAAAACUGAAUAACUUAGUGAUCAUUUUGUAACUCUUCAUAAAUUUUAGUACAAAAUUAAGUGAAUGUUAACGUGUUUGAGGCAAAUCUCGAUGAACAUGUCAUGCAACGCAUAGCUAAAGGGGUAGAUAAGAGCUUUAGACCUCUUUUAGUUAAAUGGUAUCAUUAUGAUUAUAGUGCCUCUUAAAUGUCAAUUGUUUAAUUUAGUUCCUUUCUAGCUUUUAUUUAAAUGGAACAAUUGUAAUUUAGACCCUUUUCAAAUGUUUAAAUUUAAUUUCAGUUAUUUUAACGUAAAAUAUUUUAGCUUUGUCCCCUAUUUUUUUAAUUUUAUCUUGGCUCUUCAUCACAUAAUUCAUGACUGACAUAUAUGCCAUAGGUCAUAAGAUUGAGUCAAACUAUGCAAAAACUCUUUAGUUUCACCUGUUUGAGCACUUCAAGGCGUUCUCACUCUCUAAACCCACCAAGGAUCUAGACAAAGUCGGGAGACAAAACUCCGACUGGGGACAAUACUGGACUUGCUUAUAUCUGCUUUAUAGUUGUAUUUGUAGCAUACAAUGUAUAUUUUGUCAAAUUUGAAUACUUCUUGUUUGCUUGUCUAUUAUUCUUUUGAUAGAAGAUACAACUUUCUUUAUUUGUAUGUCCAUAUAAUUUGUUACAUUCGAUCUGUGAACCAUAUUUGACCUUCAUAUUGUCAACCAUGCCACUUGUUCAAUGGAAAAUUACCUUUGUUGAUUUGUUCUUGGUUGACAUUAAGUUCAAGGUUCGAAUCAGGAAAACCAAUCUCUCUCCCCUUAUUAUAUUUAUGUAUAUACAUGUAUUUGACCUUCAUGUUUGUUGGUGAGAAAAUGGUACAGAGUAAAUUGAAUUUUGCUUUUUGUUUGGUGUGUUUCCUAGGGAAAGCUUUAUGGAAGCCAACAAGAAUGGAAAUUUGGUUGAUGUUGAUCGGAAGGCGUUCGAAACUUGGAAAAAAUGAGCGAGGAGGUAUAGGUCCCUUGCUCCUCCCACUUUGUCAUAACUUUUCAUUGGAAGUUUUCUGUUGUAAUUUUGUAUUGAGUAUCGUCCCGAGUAUUUUCUUUAAUAGGAGAGGAAACCAUAUGUUACUCAGCCUACAUGAAGGAUAUGACUGAAGCGGAUAAAAAUAUUGUAAAGGUAACUGGGAUUCAGAGUUUAUGGAUGCUAAUUUCGUAUAAUUUAAACUUUCUAGAGCGACCUAAAUAUGUUGUUGGUGUAAUUGGUGAAAUUGUUUGUUGUGCUUUCAUAGCAAUGCUGAUACAUUCUGAAUAUUUGAUCAUGGAACUUGUUCCGUAGAUUCUUAAUUCAGAACUAUGAAUAGGGGCAUACUAAGGCAUACUAAAGAUGCAUGAUUUUGAACUCAUGAUCCUCUCAUCUUUACAUAAUCUAUGUUGCCACUCGGUUUUCUCCCUAUCGUUGUCAAUUAUUGUCAUCACAAUUGCUUUUCAAUGAUUUUUUCAGUUAGAAUUAGUAUCUUUUCCUUGUUUUGUCCACAAAAGCAAGAAUGAUAUAUGAUAGCUGUGAUUUAUCUGACAAUUAGCUUCUCUAAAUCUUUCACCCUAAUCAAUUGUCAAAAAUUUGCUGUUCUAGUGCUUAUUGGCUUCUCGUUUUUAACUUGAAAGUUAACUUAUCUAUUGUUCAAACAUCAAAAUGGAACAAAGUUUUGCAUCAUAUUCGAAGUUAUUAAUGAGUUAUUUUCUUUAGGUGGAUGAUGAGGCUGAUUCAGCAAUGGUUGGGAAAUUUGAUGAGGUUUGUAUAUAUGUUUGGAGCACAAAAAACAUAGCAAAUAUAGAUAAAUUUACGUAUUGUAUAUCUACUUGUGCUUAAACUAAGUCAUUCCCCUGCCAGUUGAGGCUCUGAAACCUUUGGGCACUGAAGUUCGAGUUUCACUAUGUAAAUCAUGUGUUGGUUCUCCCCCAGAUUUAUUUUGUUUACUUAGUUAGAGUUGAGUUAGCUUCAGUGAAUGUAACGAUUGAUUAUGUUAGUUCCCCCCUCUUUUGCCACCUCUUCUUCGUUGAAUUUACAGUUCUAUGAAGAUUAUGGGUACUAUGAAACAUCUGAUGAUGAUGGUGAACCAUACCACUCUGGAGGAUUCAAGAGCUUAAACACAACUGAACAGUAAUCGAAGUCUUCCCCACAUUUCAGUUCAAUUACCUAACUUAACCGCAAUCAUAUAUUGUGCACAAGACCGAUAAGUUAUGGCUUUCAUGAAGCAGGGAAACUGCUAUCGAGGGCGGAACUUGAAGAUGUUCUGGUUUUUGUUUCAUGUCAAUGGACCUUAUCCAACUGGCAAUGGUGGAAAAAAAAAGUUUGCCAUUUUGAUUCAUUUGUUAAGGCAAAUCAUUUGGCUAUUGUAAAGUAGUUAUAGGGGUUUUAGCCUUCGAAGCAGAUUGGUAUUUGUUUUGCUAUUUGGCAGUGGCAGUGGCAAUGGCAAUGGGGGUUUCACAGGUGAGUGGCAAGGGCUAUAGAGGAAGCAUCAUUUUGUCUAUAUUUUUUUAGUUUUAUGGAAUUUGGUUGAUGGAAUAGGUGAUAUGUUGGGUUGGAUAAAAUAAUCUAUAUUUUAUUGAAGUUAUGUUUGUUUUUAUCUGUUAGAAAAUUGAAGAAUGAUAUUAGAAAAUAUUUAGUCAAAUAAUUUGUAUUAAUAAUAGUUAAUUAUGCCUUUGUGGCUAAGCUCAUGGAAAUCAUUUAAAAAUAAAAUCUAAUAAAUAAUUAAACAUAUGAUUUAAAAUUAAUAAUAAUAACAAAGUAAUAUGUACGAAAUUUAAAUAGGUAAAUACAUUUGAUUAAGCUUUAUGUUCUGUUCUAAAUUUGGUUUCUUAAUACUUCUUCUGAAUAAGUUGGUGUCGAGUUGAUUCAUGAUACCAAUUUAGUCACAUGGUUAAAUAACUAUAUAGAUACAAAAGUUAAAUAUUUAAGAUGAUUGAUGCCUUCUGAACAUAACACCAUUUAAAUUUAUAUAAAUGUAUGAAAAUACGAAAAAUACUCAAUAACAAUAUUUAUUAAUAAUUUAAAUUUUGAUUUUUUUUAGUUUUCUUUUAUUCAAUUGGUGUCAAGUUAAAUCGUGACGCUGAUUCAGUUACAAUAUAUAGAAUAUGACGUGAGUGACAGACCAAUUUUAUUUAAAAUUUUAAUAUAAAAUAACAAUAAAGGUUUGAUUGAAACGGAAAAAUUAAAGAUUUAAGUUGCUUGAUGUCUUAUGUAAAGGUUUAAAUCGCAUCAUUUGCUUAUUUCCUUAAGUUUAAGUUGUUCCUUAUAACUUUUAUAAAAAUGUGUGAAAAUACAAAAACACCCUAUGAUAAUGUUUAUUAAUUGUUUAAAAUUUGAGUUUUUAGUACUUCUCUAAUUAAAUUAGUGUCGAGUUGAUUCGUAACAUCAACUCAAUCACACUUAAAUUAAAGUUUCCAUACAUAGAACACCAGGUGGGUGAGAGUGAUAGACGAGAUUUAUGAAAAAAAUUCAUGUAAAAUAACAAUGAAGUUUCGGUUAAAAUAAUAAAUUUAAUUUGUAAUAUUUAUAAUGAUAAAUUUACACAGAAUACUUGCCAUUUGCAUAUUUUUUAUAAGUUUAUUUUAUUUUUUAAAAUAAAGUUUAUAUAAAGGUAUGAAAUGCAAAACUACCUUAUAAUAAUAUUUAUUAAUCGUUAAAAUUUUGAUUUUUUUAAUACUUUGUCUAAUCGAGUUGGUGUCGAGUUAGUCAAUGAUAUAAUUUAGACAUAUAAUUAGACAACAGUGUAAAAGUGUAGAUACAUAGAUCACAAUGCGCGUGAUAAGCAAAUUUUAUGUAAAAAAAAACUCAUAUAAAUAUUAUAUUAAUAGAUGAGAACAUCUGUAUUUAAUAAUUAGACAACAGUGUAAAAAUGUAGACACAUAGAUUACAAUGGGCGUGAUAAGCAAAUUUUAUGUAAAAAAACUCAUAUAAAUAUUAUAUUAAUAGAUGAGAACAUCAGUAUUUAAAAAAAAAAAUCCAGAAAGCUGAUUGCAUACCAAGGCUUGGAACAUGGCAAUCAUGGUACACAAAAAAGCCAAAAAAAAUUUAGCAAUAAGAUUUCAUAAAGAUAUAAAUUGUUUACAACAGUAAAUUAACACAAGAAAAUAAAAAUAAAACAAAGUAGAAAACUAACCCCCACCCCCAAUUUGCCGUCCACAGUAGUUGUGACCUUAUUAUAUAAUCUUCAAUCCUUAAUAAUCUAUACUAUAUAUAUAGAACACAGACACUUAAAACAUGCAAUAAGCAAACCAUGAUAAUGACCCAAAUUUUAUGUGAAAAUAUUAAACCAAGCAAGCAUCAUAAGCAACAAUCCCAUCCAUGAUCUUGGCCACACUAUCUUUGGACUCCUUUAACACCUUGAUGCUGUUUUUAAGCUUCUCACGCUUUGCAACAAUGGCAGGAGAUUCCACCAGCAUCAUCUUUAUCCCAUGUCCAUCUGGUCCCAUCAGCUCCUUCACAAUCUCAUCAAUGUCAUUGUGUACAAGAUUAUGAACAUGGUAUCGUAAAUGCAAUGCCAUGGAAUCAACCAAUCUCACCUUAAAUACCUUCCAAUAAGCAACCAUUCUCAUCUUCAGGUCGAAAGCUUGUUGCAGGAUCGAAACAUCCGAGUGUUUUCUGAGAUGUUCGAUUUGGAUUUCCCCUAAACCUUCGAGAUCCACACUGCAAGGCAGCGGCCGCAUGUUUGUUCCAGAUAUUUGGUUCAUGAAAUGGUCUUGUUGCUUCAUGAGCUUAUUCCACUCCAUCAUGUAAUCAGGGUUACAUGUGUAGCCUGUUAGCUUCUCCAUUUCUACAAUCUCUUUCACCCUAUUGAUUGAUUGCUCCCUCAGCUUUUGAACAAGGUUGUGAGCAGCUCCUUUUGCGGAUACCUUGAGGUGAUAAUACAUUUCCGAGUGGCGCGUCAAAACAGACAUCACCACAUCGUCUAUGUAAUCCCAAUACUUUUCGCUGAGUUUGAUAGGGAGAUACGAUAUCCUCUCGACUUUUCUCCGUAAGAUACGAAGGAAUGCUUCACAGGGAAGGAAGUUCGGUAGUUCGAUCCCCCUAGCAUCUUCCAAACCCUUGAUCUCUUCUGUUAAAAAGUCUUUUGAUAGAUUACUUUCCUCGCAGUUGUGAAGCUCAUCGGAGAACCGGUUCAGCAUUUCAACAAACCGAGCAGUCCCGUGCUUCGUGUUGUCCUCGGGGUAUUCAUCAAAUUCCCCCCUCCAAAGAAGUUUCUUCAGGGAUUCUUUAGCUGCUUGAAUGAUCCUCAUCAUAGCUUGAGUGGCAUCAGCAAUAGAAGUUAAGGCCUUUGGCAUUUUCUCUAGCUCUGAAACAUUUGCAUCCAGCUUUGCACUAAUGUUUUUAACAAUCUCUGGCAAGCACUUUGCAAUCGCAUUAGCUUGAAUUCGGACAAGAUUUUGAGCCAAAACAUGAACCCCCACAAUUGAUUUAUCAAUACGUGACAAAUGUGCAUUAGUUUCGAACAAUCUAGCCUCUUCCUUCCUUGCUUCUUCAUAGGAUUCAUCACCAAUCCGAUUCCGAACACAAACAUAACCAAGUCCUAUAUUCACAUCAUCUGCAGUAACCUUGUCAACAAGCCCUUCGGGGGCCCUAUCUACUUUAGUAACCACGGCAAGAGUUCUCUCACCAUUCUUGUCCACUUGUUGCGACAUCCUAAUGGAUUCACAAGUUGAAAAAUCAACCGUAGCCGACAGAACAUUAAGGAUAAUGCUUUCCUUUGGUGUUAUGUACUGCAUGAUGAUGUCCCGGAUCUGCUCAUAUAUGUUGUCGGGCUGACCAUGGACAGGAACUCUGGUAAUUCCAGGAAGAUCAACCAUGGUAAGAUCAGGAACCCCAUCUUUUCUCACCACCAAAGUCAAAGGGAUGUCAGAUAUGCUCUUACCCGGGCCUGCAACCUCAUCCGUUGCAAUGUUUAUGGCUGUUGCAAUCUGGGGUUCCUCCACUGGGACCGUUUUGCCAUUGUACUCCAAGUAGAGCUCUGGCCUUGGACUUGCAUGGUUCUGCAACCUGAUUAUGAGAGGUACCCUGGUGCAAAUGCCCUGGCUACGAGGAAGGUUAACACCAGCCAAGGAUUCAAGAACACUAGACUUGCCUGAUGACUGGUCUCCAACCACAACAAUUGUGGGGAGCUGUAUGCCUUCUUUCAUCACCAUGAGCAGCCUGAGCCUGUCGAUGACGUCAAGCAAAGGUCGGAUUUUGU